Molecule: ribosomal RNA, 460 nt
Filed under: uncultured bacterium
Lineage: Bacteria
Description: partial 16S ribosomal RNA
Rfam family: Bacterial small subunit ribosomal RNA
Source: RNAcentral
CCUACGGGAGGCAGCAGUGAGGAAUAUUGGUCAAUGGACGAGAGUCUGAACCAGCCAAGUAGCGUGAAGGAUGACUGCCCUAUGGGUUGUAAACUUCUUUUAUAUGGGAAUAAAAUGCUCUACGUGUGGGAUUUUGUAUGUACCAUAUGAAUAAGGAUCGGCUAACUCCGUGCCAGCAGCCGCGGUAAUACGGAGGAUCCGAGCGUUAUCCGGAUUUAUUGGGUUUAAAGGGAGCGUAGGUGGAUUGUUAAGUCAGUUGUGAAAGUUUGCGGCUCAACCGUAAAAUUGCAGUUGAAACUGGCAGUCUUGAGUACAGCAGAGGUGGGCGGAAUUCGUGGUGUAGCGGUGAAAUGCUUAGAUAUCACGAAGAACUCCGAUUGCGAAGGCAGCUUACUGGACUGCAACUGACACUGAUGCUCGAAAGUGUGGGUAUCAAACAGGAUUAGAUACCCCGGUAGUC